This is a non-coding RNA of Smittium mucronatum, 44 nucleotides long. The record is from Rfam. Lineage: Eukaryota; Fungi; Kickxellomycota; Harpellomycetes; Harpellales; Legeriomycetaceae.
CAAAAGGCUUUUUGAAGCCACCAAUAUUCUGAUAUUAUCUAUUU